UACGUAGGUGACAAGCGUUGUCCGGAUUUACUGGGCGUAAAGAGCGCGCAGGCGGUCGAUCAAGUCGAGUGUGAAAGCCCCCGGCUCAACUGGGGAGCGUCAUUCGAAACUGGUCGACUCGAAGGCAGGAGAGGGUAGUGGAAUUCCCGGUGUAGUGGUGAAAUGCGUAGAGAUCGGGAGGAACACCAGUGGCGAAGGCGAGUACCUGGCCUGUUCUUGACGCUGAGGCGCGAAAGCUAGGGGAGCAAACGGG
Molecule: ribosomal RNA, 253 nt
Filed under: uncultured bacterium
Lineage: Bacteria
Description: partial 16S ribosomal RNA
Rfam family: Bacterial small subunit ribosomal RNA
Source: RNAcentral